CAACAAGUUACCCAAACAAUCUCCCAGUUUAGACAGUAACAUCAACGCACCUCGACCAAAGUUCUUAAGGCUUUGAGGAUCAAGAGGAUUAGCACUGCUAUUCCGAUUCAGAGUUAAGUUUAAAAGACAGGCUUUGCCUAUUCAGGUUGGCUGGCCGGUGCUGACGGGACGGAGCUGAGGCUAGAGUUAAAUUCCUAUGUUAGACUUCCGCUGUAGCAAUUACUCAUAUCCGUCUUUUAUUUUCCCAACUUAAGAUCUUCAUGUUAAAUUUCAAAUGAUAUACCUGACCGAGCUCAGACUCUUCACUACUAAAUUUAUGCUAAUGAAUGUCGGUUGUCAGAAGCAUGAAACAAAACUUGUGAUCCAAAGGGGCAUAGCCCGACUUUCUAUCAUAUUUCGGU
Long non-coding RNA from Salvia miltiorrhiza (redroot sage), 401 nucleotides. RefSeq lists it as uncharacterized. The record is from RefSeq and is a predicted model, not a curated record. The transcript has 3 exons. NCBI's taxonomy places the organism in Eukaryota, Viridiplantae, Streptophyta, Magnoliopsida, Lamiales, Lamiaceae.